GGCAGCGCGCUACCUGCAGUCGACGGUAACGGAAGCAGCUUGCUGCUUCGCUGACGAGUGGCGGACGGGUGAGUAAUGUCUGGGAAACUGCCUGAUGGAGGGGGAUAACUACUGGAAACGGUAGCUAAUACCGCAUAACGUCGCAAGACCAAAGAGGGGGACCUUCGGGCCUCUUGCCAUCGGAUGUGCCCAGAUGGGAUUAGCUAGUAGGUGGGGUAACGGCUCACCUAGGCGACGAUCCCUAGCUGGUCUGAGAGGAUGACCAGCCACACUGGAACUGAGACACGGUCCAGACUCCUACGGGAGGCAGCAGUGGGGAAUAUUGCACAAUGGGCGCAAGCCUGAUGCAGCCAUGCCGCGUGUAUGAAGAAGGCCUUCGGGUUGUAAAGUACUUUCAGCGGGGAGGAAGGCGAUAAGGUUAAUAACCUUGUCGAUUGACGUUACCCGCAGAAGAAGCACCGGCUAACUCCGUGCCAGCAGCCGCGGUAAUACGGAGGGUGCAAGCGUUAAUCGGAAUUACUGGGCGUAAAGCGCACGCAGGCGGUCUGUCAAGUCGGAUGUGAAAUCCCCGGGCUCAACCUGGGAACUGCAUUCGAAACUGGCAGGCUAGAGUCUUGUAGAGGGGGGUAGAAUUCCAGGUGUAGCGGUGAAAUGCGUAGAGAUCUGGAGGAAUACCGGUGGCGAAGGCGGCCCCCUGGACAAAGACUGACGCUCAGGUGCGAAAGCGUGNGGAGCAAACAGGAUUAGAUACCCUGGUAGUCCACGCCGUAAACGAUGUCGACUUGGAGGUUGUGCCCUUGAGGCGUGGCUUCCGGAGCUAACGCGUUAAGUCGACCGCCUGGGGAGUACGGCCGCAAGGUUAAAACUCAAAUGAAUUGACGGGGGGCCCGCAACAGCGGGUGAACAUGUGGUUUAAAUCAAUGCAACGCGAAAAAAC
RNAcentral lists this ribosomal RNA (937 nucleotides) under Enterobacter hormaechei. Its description in RNAcentral is "bacterial SSU rRNA". It matches the Rfam family "Bacterial small subunit ribosomal RNA", at positions 38 to 970 of the family's 1533-position model. Lineage: Bacteria; Pseudomonadati; Pseudomonadota; Gammaproteobacteria; Enterobacterales; Enterobacteriaceae. The record is from RNAcentral.